Molecule: ribosomal RNA, 465 nt
Filed under: uncultured Klebsiella sp.
Lineage: Bacteria; Pseudomonadati; Pseudomonadota; Gammaproteobacteria; Enterobacterales; Enterobacteriaceae
Description: bacterial SSU rRNA
Rfam family: Bacterial small subunit ribosomal RNA
Source: RNAcentral
CCUACGGGCGGCAGCAGUGGGGAAUAUUGCACAAUGGGCGCAAGCCUGAUGCAGCCAUGCCGCGUGUGUGAAGAAGGCCUUCGGGUUGUAAAGCACUUUCAGCGGGGAGGAAGGCGGUGAGGUUAAUAACCUCAUCGAUUGACGUUACCCGCAGAAGAAGCACCGGCUAACUCCGUGCCAGCAGCCGCGGUAAUACGGAGGGUGCAAGCGUUAAUCGGAAUUACUGGGCGUAAAGCGCACGCAGGCGGUCUGUCAAGUCGGAUGUGAAAUCCCCGGGCUCAACCUGGGAACUGCAUUCGAAACUGGCAGGCUAGAGUCUUGUAGAGGGGGGUAGAAUUCCAGGUGUAGCGGUGAAAUGCGUAGAGAGCUGGAGGAAUACCGGUGGCGAAGGCGGCCCCCUGGACAAAGACUGACGCUCAGGUGCGAAAGCGUGGGGAGCAAACAGGAUUAGAUACCCGGGUAGUC